This is a long non-coding RNA of Gorilla gorilla gorilla (western lowland gorilla), 978 nucleotides long. RefSeq lists it as uncharacterized. The record is from RefSeq and is a predicted model, not a curated record. NCBI's taxonomy places the organism in Eukaryota, Metazoa, Chordata, Mammalia, Primates, Hominidae. The transcript is spliced from 4 exons.
GGAGGAUGACAAGCUCCUGACUGAUAGAUACAUGGAGACUUCGCUGGUGAUUUAUUGGCUUUCUGCACCUGACGAGAACCACUAGGCCUAUCUGAGGAGGGAAAUAUAUGGGCUUUCCUGACUCCAAGUGGCAGCCCCGGGGCGAGCAUGUGAUGUCAAGCUGGGCAGAGGAAAGCGGAGCUGUGCACCGGCCUGUGUACUGUAAGCCGGCCCGGGUCGUAAAAGUGUCAGCACGCGAUAUAUUUCUUGCAGGGGAUCCUCUCUGGCUCUUGCCAGCGCCUCUCCCCGGUGGCUGGCAGCCGCCCUAGCCGGGCCUGCAAGCAGCGGAUGCCCCAGGUCGCUUUCCCUUCGCCCUGCCCCGGAGCGCCGGGCCCUCACGUUCUCGCUCCAGCCUGGGGUCUCUCACGUGGCAUCUGGCCCUGGGGACGGUGCAGCGCAGGAGUUAAUUGCUGUCACUCCUGACUUCAGCGAAAGAGAUCGAUCAUGGGGCUUCUUCUUCGGGGUUAGCAGGGGCCUGGAGUGGAUGUUUAGUCUACCGGUCAGACUCCAGGUCUUAUAUCUUGAAACUGUAAGUCCCUGAAUUCACAGACAAUUCAGAGUAAGGAUGGAGGCAAAGAAGAGGACCUUGGGUUUACUGUUCACGAGAUGACCUCACAAAGGUGUUCAAUGAUGAAGAGGAGUAGCUGAAGAGAUGGCUGUCUAGAGUCAACACAAACCUACCCCAAAGUUUGACCUUUGCCUUAAGUCAGUAACUGAGGAGGGCCACGGUCCUGAGUUCAGUCCAGGCCCCAAGAAGAUUCAGAGCCUGCAGUUGUCCUCUGGUUUCCAAAGUAUGUUAUUGGGCUAAAAAUUUCAAGACAUUUAUCCUUCUUUGCUUUCUAUCGCAGCCAUUAAAUGUUUUAGAUAUUUUCUGCCAGAAGGCAGGAAUCAUGAAGAUAACAAAUAUUAAAGACAAAACAAAAUAACUUUUAAUGAGAA